UUGCACAGUUGUAAGUUAAGAGAUACGCCCAUCUGCACCGGAGCACAGGUAUUUAACCUGAGUUCCGGCGGUAGUAGGGGAGUGGUCUGAGGAAGUGUGCCUCGCACACGAAAUAGCUAUCACCGCUACGUGGACGGCGUCCAAGUCCUCCCUUGCCUUGUCUGUCAUUAUGCUGCACUUUAUGGAAUAAACAAGUUUGUUAUACUACGACACUGGUGUAUAUGAACUUGCCAAAAGCCACAAUAAGCAGUGCUGUGCCGAACGCUAUUCCUGCAUUUACCGUAAUUCACUUCUCCGCUUCUAGAGAUUUCAUUGGGAUCCCCGCAUGCAGGAUUGAGGGCGAGAAAUUCAAAUUGUGGAGUCUAUACCGGGGCUCUCUGAAGCCACUGCUAAGACAGUUUGGAAAUCUGUAGCUUCCAGCAGCUUUCCAACAGAAAGACUUGGCAUGGAUGGCCAUUCAAGAGGCUCUGCUCCUGAGAACAGGUGCUGCACAAGGUGCCCAUUCACCGAGAAAACUUUGCAUCUCUUUUGGCAGUGUCUAUUUGCCCUGGCCCUGCUAAACGCACUGGAAUAUGAACUUACAGACUCUGAUCCCAGGAGUAGCCUAAUGCAUUUUUUUGUGCUUUACUGACUUUUCCUGGAUAUUGCACUGUCGGGGCUCUCCAGGGGGGGCUGGCGCCUUAUGAACUGUUAUAAAAAAUGCUUUGCGGUUUGCCAGGAAACAACUUAUUUUAAACUCGGAGAUGUCCGUCCAGGACUUCCACAGGCUGGUCCGCAGCUUGCUGAGGAUAUAUUCCAUCAGGGAGAGUCUGGACGUCAAGGAGAAAGAGGA
Hyla sarda is the source of this 832-nucleotide long non-coding RNA. RefSeq lists it as uncharacterized. NCBI's taxonomy places the organism in Eukaryota, Metazoa, Chordata, Amphibia, Anura, Hylidae. The transcript is spliced from 3 exons. The record is from RefSeq and is a predicted model, not a curated record.